ACAACACAGCAACAAUCAUGCUACUGCAGAGCAGACCACACCACAGCAACAACACCCAAGAACCAGUUCAGCUAUACCAAUGCACAAUAGGGGUGUGGGUAUUUAUACCUACCCAAAUGGGUAUCAAAGAAUAGCUACUCCUAUAUCACAACAUUUCCCCACACCACAGAGGCAAAGACCUCCUGCAGCUUUCUAUUCUGAUCAUGGGGGUGAGCAAACCAUCUACUCCUUCCCUGCACAUGACUUCCCAUUGUCACAGACUCAACCAAGUCAAGGACACACAAUAUCAAGCCAAGCAUUGCAGGAUCUUGCAAUGGCUAGAAGAUUAGAAAAAAGACCAUGAG
Long non-coding RNA from Spinacia oleracea (spinach), 344 nucleotides. RefSeq lists it as uncharacterized. NCBI's taxonomy places the organism in Eukaryota, Viridiplantae, Streptophyta, Magnoliopsida, Caryophyllales, Amaranthaceae. The transcript is spliced from 2 exons. The record is from RefSeq and is a predicted model, not a curated record.